This 490-nucleotide ribosomal RNA is filed under the name uncultured bacterium. RNAcentral describes it as "partial 16S ribosomal RNA". It matches the Rfam family "Bacterial small subunit ribosomal RNA", at positions 30 to 507 of the family's 1533-position model. The record is from RNAcentral.
AUUGAACGCUGGCGGCAGGCCUAACACAUGCCAGUCGAACGGUAACAGGAAGCAGCUUGCUGCUUUGCUGACGAGUGGCGGACGGGUGAGUAAUGUCUGGGAAACUGCCCGAUGGAGGGGGAUAACUACUGGAAACGGUAGCUAAUACCGCAUAACGUCGCAAGACCAAAGAGGGGGACCUUAGGGCCUCUUGCCAUCGGAUGUGCCCAGAUGGGAUUAGCUAGUAGGUGGGGUAACGGCUCACCUAGGCGACGAUCCCUAGCUGGUCUGAGAGGAUGACCAGCCACACUGGAACUGAGACACGGUCCAGACUCCUACGGGAGGCAGCAGUGGGGAAUAUUGCCCAAUGGGCGCAAGCCUGAUGCAGCCAUGCCGCGUGUAUGAAGAAGGCCUUCGGGUUGUAAAGUACUGUCAGCGGGGAGGAAGGGAGUAAAGUUAAUACCUUUGCUCAUUGACGUUACCCGCAGAAGAAGCACCGGCUAACUCCGUG